GAGGGUAUAGCUCAGUGGUAGAGCGUGUGAUUAGCAUGGAUGAGGUCCUGGCUUCAAUCCCCAGUGCCUCCA
Molecule: transfer RNA, 72 nt
Filed under: Camelus bactrianus (Bactrian camel)
Lineage: Eukaryota; Metazoa; Chordata; Mammalia; Artiodactyla; Camelidae
Also listed under: 2 other names
Rfam family: tRNA
About the family: Transfer RNA (tRNA) molecules are approximately 80 nucleotides in length. Their secondary structure includes four short double-helical elements and three loops (D, anti-codon, and T loops). Further hydrogen bonds mediate the characteristic L-shaped molecular structure. tRNAs have two regions of fundamental functional importance: the anti-codon, which is responsible for specific mRNA codon recognition, and the 3' end, to which the tRNAs corresponding amino acid is attached (by aminoacyl-tRNA synthetases). tRNAs cope with the degeneracy of the genetic code in two manners: having more than one tRNA (with a specific anti-codon) for a particular amino acid; and 'wobble' base-pairing, i.e. permitting non-standard base-pairing at the 3rd anti-codon position.
Source: Rfam by way of RNAcentral